CAAGUACUCCCUCUGUCCCAAAAUUCUUGUCUUAGAUUUGUCUAGAUACUGAUGUAUCUAAUACUAAAAUGUGUCCUGAUACAUCCGUAUCUAGACAAAUCUAAGACAAGAAUUUUGGGACGGAGGGAGUACUUU
Molecule: non-coding RNA, 135 nt
Organism: Triticum aestivum (bread wheat)
Lineage: Eukaryota; Viridiplantae; Streptophyta; Magnoliopsida; Poales; Poaceae
Source: Rfam